This 373-nucleotide ribosomal RNA is filed under the name uncultured organism. RNAcentral's name for it is "partial 16S ribosomal RNA". It matches the Rfam family "Bacterial small subunit ribosomal RNA", at positions 527 to 896 of the family's 1533-position model. The record is from RNAcentral.
GUAGGUGGCAAGCGUUGUCCGGAAUUAUUGGGCGUAAAGCGCGCGCAGGCGGUUCUUUAAGUCUGAUGUGAAAGCCCACGGCUCAACCGUGGAGGGUCAUUGGAAACUGGAGAACUUGAGUACAGAAGAGGAAAGCGGAAUUCCACGUGUAGCGGUGAAAUGCGUAGAGAUGUGGAGGAACACCAGUGGCGAAGGCGGCUUUCUGGUCUGUAACUGACGCUGAGGCGCGAAAGCGUGGGGAGCAAACGAGGAUUAGAUACCCUGGUAGUCCACGCCGUAAACGAUGAGUGCUAAGUGUUAGGGGGUUUCCGCCCCCCUUAGUGCUGCAGCUAACGCAUUAAGCACUCCGCCUGGGAGUACGGCCGCAAGGCUG